Molecule: ribosomal RNA, 223 nt
Filed under: uncultured bacterium
Lineage: Bacteria
Description: partial 16S ribosomal RNA
Rfam family: Bacterial small subunit ribosomal RNA
Source: RNAcentral
CGGACGGGUGAGUAACACGUUGGUACCUGCCCUCUAGUGGGGGAAUAACUGGCCGAAAGGUCGGCUAAUACCGCAUGUGGUCCUUCGGGAUCAAAGCAGCAAUGCGCUAGAGGAGGGGCCUGCGUCUGAUUAGCUAGUUGGUAGUGUAAUGGACUACCAAGGCGACGAUCAGUAGCUGGUUCGAGAGGAUGACCAGCCACACUGGGACUGAGAUACGGCCCAG